CGUGUAGGCGGCUUAUCAAGUCGGUAGUGAAAACUAGGGGGCGUCAACCCGCCAGCUUGCUGUCGAAACUAGAUAGGCUUGAGUUUGGUUAGAGGAGUGUGGAAUUCCGAGUGUAGCGGUGGAAUGCGCAGAUAUUCGGAGGAACACCGGUGGCGAAGGCGGCACUCUGGGCCAUAACUGACGCUGAGACGCGAAAGCGUGGGUAGCAAACAGGAUUAGAUACCCUGUAGUCCACGCCGUAAACGAUGGGCACUAGGUGUGGGGAGGAUGACUCUCUCCGUGCCGCAGCUAACGCAUUAAGUGCCCCGCCUGGGGAGUACGCCGCAAGGCUAAA
RNAcentral lists this ribosomal RNA (334 nucleotides) under uncultured bacterium. RNAcentral describes it as "bacterial SSU rRNA". It matches the Rfam family "Bacterial small subunit ribosomal RNA", at positions 568 to 898 of the family's 1533-position model. The record is from RNAcentral.